CGCUUGGCUCGUCUUUACCAAGUAGAUUCUGCCCAAUGAACCUUUAAAUGGCCGCAGUAUCCUGACUGUGCUAAGGUAGCAUAAUAAUUUGCCUUUUAAUUGAAGGCUAGAAUGAAUGAACUGACGAGGAGAUAACUGUCUCAGGGGUACUAAGGAAAUUUAUAUUCAGGUAAAAAAUCCUGAGAGUUGUAGAGGGACGAUAAGACCCUAAAAGCUUUACCCUUUCCCUUUAAAACUAUUCAACUUAAUUAAGGUUAAUGGGUUUUCACUGGGGCGGUGAUUCCAUCUAACUGGAAUAAUUCAAACACUUUGAGUGAAACCUACCACCUUGAUUAAAAUCUAAAGUUAAGUUACUUUAGGGAUAACAGCGCAAUUUUCUGAUAGAGCCCUUAUCGACCAGAAAGAUUACGACCUCGAUGUUGAAUUGGAAACUUGACUAGAGCAGCAUUUAGUAUUAAGAAGACUGUUCGUCUUUUAAACUUUC
Molecule: ribosomal RNA, 484 nt
Filed under: Ligia sp. Baja Pacific South E
Lineage: Eukaryota; Metazoa; Arthropoda; Malacostraca; Isopoda; Ligiidae
Description: partial 16S ribosomal RNA
Rfam family: Bacterial large subunit ribosomal RNA
Source: RNAcentral